GCCAGGGUGGCAUAGUGGUUUGAGUAUUGGGCUAUGACUCUGGAGAGCAGGGUUCGAGUCCCUGUUCAACCA
This 72-nucleotide transfer RNA is filed under the name Phrynosoma platyrhinos (Desert horned lizard). Its description in RNAcentral is "tRNA-OTHER". The record is from RNAcentral. Lineage: Eukaryota; Metazoa; Chordata; Lepidosauria; Squamata; Phrynosomatidae.